Long non-coding RNA from Hirundo rustica (Barn swallow), 464 nucleotides. RefSeq lists it as uncharacterized. The record is from RefSeq and is a predicted model, not a curated record. The transcript is spliced from 4 exons. NCBI's taxonomy places the organism in Eukaryota, Metazoa, Chordata, Aves, Passeriformes, Hirundinidae.
GUUUUAACCAUCUGCUGUACCCGGAGCUCUUCGCUGGCGCUGCACAGCUGAAUUUUUGCAAAGGGAAGAAAUUGCAAAGCUUUCCGAAAUAGAAAACUGUUUAGCAUCUCCGUAAAUAGGAAUGCAGACAAUCUGGACGCCUGACUUGGAAAGUAUUUAAUGGUCAGUGGAAAAAAAUGAGGAAGAGGAGGGUGUGGCUGCUGCUGGGAGGCUCUGGCCCUGCAAAGGGUCCCUGGCUUCCAGAGAUGUGGUCCUGCAUCGGCACAAAAUGAAGACUUCUUUUAGAAUGCCGGUGGUUCAGCAUUUUCUGGAGAUCCGAGGCUGGAUGGAAACGGGUACCAGCGGUUCCCUAAACCCGCCACGGCAGCUCCGAGAACCCCACACGUGCCAACCCCGUGCCCUCUGGACCUGGCUGAGCCCGUGCACUCUGCGAGCAGCCCUGGCUGGGCUCAGGCUGGGGCCGG